This 496-nucleotide ribosomal RNA is filed under the name uncultured bacterium. Its description in RNAcentral is "partial 16S ribosomal RNA". It matches the Rfam family "Bacterial small subunit ribosomal RNA", at positions 28 to 506 of the family's 1533-position model. The record is from RNAcentral.
GAUGAACGCUGGCGGCGUGCCUAAUACAUGCAAGUCGAGCGAACAGACGAGGAGCUUGCUCCUCUGACGUUAGCGGCGGACGGGUGAGUAACACGUGGAUAACCUACCUAUAAGACUGGGAUAACUUCGGGAAACCGGAGCUAAUACCGGAUAAUAUAUUGAACCGCAUGGUUCAAUAGUGAAAGACGGUUUUGCUGUCACUUAUAGAUGGAUCCGCGCCGCAUUAGCUAGUUGGUAAGGUAACGGCUUACCAAGGCAACGAUGCGUAGCCGACCUGAGAGGGUGAUCGGCCACACUGGAACUGAGACACGGUCCAGACUCCUACGGGAGGCAGCAGUAGGGAAUCUUCCGCAAUGGGCGAAAGCCUGACGGAGCAACGCCGCGUGAGUGAUGAAGGUCUUCGGAUCGUAAAACUCUGUUAUUAGGGAAGAACAAGUGUGUAAGUAACUAUGCACGUCUUGACGGUACCUAAGCAGAAAGCCACGGCUAACUACGU